RNAcentral lists this non-coding RNA (45 nucleotides) under Marmota monax (woodchuck). It matches the Rfam family "Histone 3' UTR stem-loop". Rfam says of the family: The mRNAs of metazoan histone genes lack a poly-A tail. Lineage: Eukaryota; Metazoa; Chordata; Mammalia; Rodentia; Sciuridae. The record is from RNAcentral.
CCAAAGGCUCUUUUCAGAGCCACUCAAACUUUCUAAGGAGCUGCA